RNAcentral lists this unclassified non-coding RNA (818 nucleotides) under Hevea brasiliensis (rubber tree). Lineage: Eukaryota; Viridiplantae; Streptophyta; Magnoliopsida; Malpighiales; Euphorbiaceae. The record is from RNAcentral.
GGAAAUUCAUUUUUCAAUAGUUUCUUCAGAAAAUAGAUAUGAAAUGUGAAUACAAUAUCAGAAAAACCAAAAGCAUUACUUGUACCAAUGUUCCAACCUUACAAGGUGUAGUUGUUUCAUGUAGAACACAUACAUUAGUAACAUAUAUUUCUUGUGAACUCCACGAAAUUUCCAAGUCCCAAACUUUAGGUCCAUAAUUAUGCUGCUUUUGUUUCUGCUGCUCCUUCCUUUGGUCCUACCUUCACCUCACCAGAGCAACACCCACCACCGUGGUGGUGGUGGUGAUGGUGAUGCUGGUGGUGCUUCUUGCCCUUCAAUUCCUUCCUCAUAUCAUAAGCAUCUUCCCCAUCUGCAUAGUACUUGGCUUCCAUAUCAUGAAUCUUAUAUCCUAAUGUCUCUGUAUACAGCUUAAAUGCGGCCCUGUUGCUCUUCCUAACAUGCAGAGACACAUACUCUGCUCCAAACACCUGUUCCAUAGCAUUCUGAGCAGCGGUCAUGAGCUUAGUAGCCAAACCAAGUUUCCGGUGAGUCCUGACUACGGCAAGGGAAGUGAUGUGCCCAUGGCACUCAGUGGUUUCCUCUUCCAUUUUUGCUAACACAUAUCCCACAAUUUUACCAUUGUAAUCUUCAGCAACGUACAGAAGCUGAGGCCACGAAAGUAUGUGGUAGAAGUAGUACUUCAUCUGGUAAUUCUCAGGAAGGCAUAACAAAUUGCAUGCUUGCAUAGCAAGCAAAUCAUCUAUCGUCGCCUUUCGUAUGCACACCAUUUUUCAAUCUCAAUCUCACACGAUAAUUAGGGUUUGCACAGAUUUUUACAA